Molecule: ribosomal RNA, 546 nt
Filed under: uncultured bacterium
Lineage: Bacteria
Description: partial 16S ribosomal RNA
Rfam family: Bacterial small subunit ribosomal RNA
Source: RNAcentral
UAGGGAAUCUUCCACAAUGGACGAAAGUCUGAUGGAGCAACGCCGCGUGAGUGAAGAAGGUUUUCGGAUCGUAAAGCUCUGUUGUUGGUGAAGAAGGAUAGAGGCAGUAACUGGUCUUUAUUUGACGGUAAUCAACCAGAAAGUCACGGCUAACUACGUGCCAGCAGCCGCGGUAAUACGUAGGUGGCAAGCGUUGUCCGGAUUUAUUGGGCGUAAAGCGAGCGCAGGCGGAAUGAUAAGUCUGAUGUGAAAGCCCACGGCUCAACCGUGGAACUGCAUCGGAAACUGUCAUUCUUGAGUGCAGAAGAGGAGAGUGGAACUCCAUGUGUAGCGGUGGAAUGCGUAGAUAUAUGGAAGAACACCAGUGGCGAAGGCGGCUCUCUGGUCUGCAACUGACGCUGAGGCUCGAAAAGCAUGGGUAGCUAACAGGAUUAGAUACCCUGGUAGUCCAUGCCGUAAAACGAUGAGCGCUAGGUGUUGGGGACUUUCCGGUCCUCAGUGCCGCAGCAAAACGCAUUAAGCGCUCCGCCUGGGGAGUACGACCGC